This 253-nucleotide ribosomal RNA is filed under the name uncultured bacterium. RNAcentral describes it as "partial 16S ribosomal RNA". It matches the Rfam family "Bacterial small subunit ribosomal RNA", at positions 524 to 776 of the family's 1533-position model. The record is from RNAcentral.
GACGUAGGGGACGAGCGUUGUCCGGAUUCAUUGGGCGUAAAGCGCGCGUAGGCGGUUACGCAAGUCGGUUGUGAAAAUCCGGGGCUCAACCCCGGACCUGCAUUCGAUACUGCCGUGCUUGAGGACUGGAGAGGAGACUGGAAUUUACGGUGUAGCGGUGAAAUGCGUAGAUAUCGUAAGGAAGACCAGUGGCGAAGGCGGGUCUCUGGACAGUUCCUGACGCUGAGGCACGAAGGUCAGGGGAGCAAACGGG